GGACUACCCGGGUAUCUAAUCCUGUUUGAUCCCCACGCUUUCGCGCCUCAGUGUCAGUAUUGGUCCAGGUAGUCGUCUUCACCACUGGCGUUCCUUCCGAUCUCUACGCAUUUCACCGCUACACCGGAAAUUCCACUACCCUCUACCAUACUCUAGUUAAGCAGUUUAAGAUGCACUUCCCAGGUUAAGCCCAGGGCUUUCACAUCUUACUUGCUUUACCACCUACGCGCCCUUUACGCCCAGUAAAUCCGAUUAACGCUCGCACCCUCUGUAUUACCGCGGCUGCUGGCAC
RNAcentral lists this ribosomal RNA (292 nucleotides) under uncultured bacterium. Its description in RNAcentral is "partial 16S ribosomal RNA". RNAcentral also lists the same sequence under 1 other name. The record is from RNAcentral.